This 83-nucleotide transfer RNA is filed under the name uncultured Acidimicrobiaceae bacterium. Its description in RNAcentral is "tRNA-Leu". It matches the Rfam family "tRNA". Rfam says of the family: Transfer RNA (tRNA) molecules are approximately 80 nucleotides in length. Their secondary structure includes four short double-helical elements and three loops (D, anti-codon, and T loops). The record is from RNAcentral. Lineage: Bacteria; Bacillati; Actinomycetota; Acidimicrobiia; Acidimicrobiales; Acidimicrobiaceae. RNAcentral also lists the same sequence under 1 other name.
GCGGGUGUGGCGAAAUUGGUAUACGCGCCAGGUUUAGGUCCUGGUCCCUUCGGGGGUGGAGGUUCGAGUCCUCUCGCCCGCAC